ACGCUCGACACCUACGGGGGGCAGCAGUGGGGAAUAUUGCACAAUGGGGGAAACCCUGAUGCAGCGACGCCGCGUGGAGGAAGAAGGUCUUCGGAUUGUAAACUCCUGUUGUUGGGAAAAAAGNGGAUGGUACCCAACAAGGAAGUGACGGCUAACUACGUGCCAGCAGCCGCGGUAAUCNGAGGCGGGCUGGCAAGGC
This 199-nucleotide ribosomal RNA is filed under the name uncultured bacterium. RNAcentral describes it as "partial 16S ribosomal RNA". It matches the Rfam family "Bacterial small subunit ribosomal RNA", at positions 328 to 539 of the family's 1533-position model. The record is from RNAcentral.